Molecule: ribosomal RNA, 420 nt
Filed under: Fusobacteriota bacterium
Lineage: Bacteria; Fusobacteriati; Fusobacteriota
Description: Fusobacteria bacterium partial 16S ribosomal RNA
Rfam family: Bacterial small subunit ribosomal RNA
Source: RNAcentral
UGGGGGAUAUUGCACAAUGGGCGAAAGCCUGAUGCAGUGACGCCGCGUGGGGGAUGAAGGCCUUCGGGUUGUAAACUUCUUUUGCUCUGAACAAGGCAUGCCUUUGGGGUGUGUUGAGUGUAGGGGUUGAUUAGCGCCGGCUAACUACGUGCCAGCAGCCGCGGUAAUACGUAGGGCGCGAGCGUUGUCCGGAAUUAUUGGGCGUAAAGGGCUUGUAGGUGGCUGGUUGCGUCUGUCGUGAAAGCUCAUGGCUUAACUGUGGGUUUGCGGUGGGUACGGGCUGGCUUGAGUGCAGUAGGGGAGGCUGGAAUUCCUGGUGUAGCGGUGGAAUGCGCAGAUAUCAGGAGGAAUACCGGUGGCGAAGGCGGGUCUCUGGGCUGUUACUGACGCUGAGGAGCGAAAGCGUGGGGAGCGAACAGG